GAUGAACGCUGGCGGCGUGCCUAAUACAUGCAAGUCGAGCGAACAGACGAGGAGCUUGCUCCUCUGACGUUAGCGGCGGACGGGUGAGUAACACGUGGAUAACCUACCUAUAAGACUGGGAUAACUUCGGGAAACCGGAGCUAAUACCGGAUAAUAUAUUGAACCGCAUGGUUCAAUAGUGAAAGACGGUUUUGCUGUCACUUAUAGAUGGAUCCGCGCCGCAUUAGCUAGUUGGUAAGGUAACGGCUUACCAAGGCAACGAUGCGUAGCCGACCGGAGAGGGUGAUCGGCCACACUGGAACGGAGACACGGUCCAGACUCCUACGGGAGGCAGCAGUAGGGUAUCUUCCGCAAUGGGCGAAAGCCUGACGGAGCAAGGCCGCGUGAGUGAUGAAGGUCUGCGGAUCGUAAAACUCUGUUAUGAGGGAAGAACAAAUGUGUAAGUAACUAUGCACGUCUUGACGGUACCUAAUCAAAAAGCCACGGCUAACUACGUG
This 497-nucleotide ribosomal RNA is filed under the name uncultured bacterium. RNAcentral describes it as "partial 16S ribosomal RNA". It matches the Rfam family "Bacterial small subunit ribosomal RNA", at positions 28 to 507 of the family's 1533-position model. The record is from RNAcentral.